GAGACAGUCUCGCUUUGUCACCCAGGCUGGAGUGCAGUGGCACAACCUUGGCUCACUGCAACCUCCGCCUCCUGGGUUCAAGUGAUUCUCGUGCCUCCCAGGUAGCUGGGAUUACAGGUGUGCACCACCAUGCCCAGCUAAUUUUUAUAUUUUUAGUAGAGAUGGGGUUUUGCCAUGUCGGCCAAACUGGUUUAGAACUCCUGGCCUCAAAUGGUCUGCCCACCUUGGCAUCCCAAAAUGCUGGGAUUACAGGCAUAAGCCACCGCGCCCAGCCAACACUUAACUGAUUUCUUAUUUCCUAAUAGAAAGGAUUCUGUUUGGUAUCCUAUAAUACUGAUGCAGCUUGAUUUGCUCUGUACACCCAGGAGUCUUCUGACAACUCUUGUGUUCCUGUGGUGGCUAAUGUCCCACAAAAUGGAAACACAUAUGGCAAGGAAAAUUAAAGUAGAACCUGUGAUAGUAAGAAAGUUCAUGAAUGCUGAAACAAUGACAACAAAAUUUCAUUUAAAGAGACUUAAAUAAAACAAGAUGGAGGAAGGCCCAAGCUUAUGGUGAAGCUGAUACUACUUGCAGUUUAAUAUAUCUAACCAUUUUAUAUUAACAGAACAAACUGGACUUAUCUAAUUCCUACAUUCAUAACUUUUUUAGAUCUCCAAAGCAUAAACAUUUCUUCCACAACUCAAGAUUUCCAAUUCUUUUUUAAUAAUCUAGUAUGAUGACCCUUUUAUAUUCAAGUAGAUCUCUCUGCAAUGAGAACACUUGUUCAACAAGUACUUGUGUCAUGAAUCUGUGUGCUUAAAUAAAAGAAGCAUACUGUGACUUCUGUGCUUCAGUCUGAGUUCUCAGAAAUACACUGGCUAAGACAAUGUUUUGAGAAGAUAAAACUUUGAAAGCUACCAUUAUACCUAUUACACUACAAGUUCUACCUCUCAUUUAACCUUACAUUCCUGACGUAGUUUUUAGAAGUCCUAUAUAGAUGGGUUAGUUCAACAUUAAAAUUAUGGAAUUCUGUGGGAAAAACUGAGGCAAGGCCUACUAAAACUACAAAUAAUUAAGGUAAGGGCAACAACAUCAAAAAAACUACAACUAUUAUGGAUCUGGUAUUAUGGGAAUGAACAGCCUUUGAGUAAUAAAGAUAGCAAUGGAUCAUGAGUUAUCUCUUUUUCAGGCCAAGUUUUGAUAAAGUUUUACUCAUAACAAUACCCCCCACACUACACACACACACACACACACACACACACACACACACACACACACACACAGAGAGAGAGAGAGAGGGAGAGAAAUGAUAUAAUUCAAGACAAGAUUUGCCAUAUGCAGAGUUAACUAACAUACAUUAUAGGAGCGAUGUCAAGAAGCACAGGUAAAACUGAAGAAUCUUAAGUGAUUUUGAGAAGUUACAAAAUUUAAAUUUUGUAUCAAAGUGGAAUUUAGUACCACAUGGUAAAAAACCAGCAACGACAACAAAACUCUCAAAAGUUUAGUAUUUUUCCCUCACUCUAAAAAUAUAAAAACACAUUAACUUUCACUAUCAACUAAAUUAUCAUUCAUUUAACCAAAGCACAAGAAUAAAGACUUACAAUCACUUCAGUUGAAUAAGACAUAUUUAGAUGAUUCUGUGAUUCUCAGGAUAUAAUAUUUUCUACUCUAAAACAGAUAAAUUUUAGAAAAGACUAAAUUGGGGAAAACACACUAGGAUUAAAGAAGACUAUUUUUUUAGCUUACCAGCCUUUUAAAUUUUAUUAUAUAAAAAUAUUUUCAUAAAAUAAAAUAUAAUUUUAUUCACAAUUCCAUACAUUCUAACUUGAUACCUGCCGAAUAAAAAAAGGGUGACCUUUCCCACUGUCUGACUCUGUGGAGUGUUUUAAGUGCUCACAAAUGGGUAAAUACCCUUUUUAUGUACAUAGAAACUGUUUUCAAACAAAAUAUAAAGUUCUCAAGAAUUAUUAGGAAGAAAGCUUUUCUCCUAAGAAUCAAAGAAACACAACAAUCUAGGUAUAAGUCUGCAUAGCUCAAAAAUUCAAGUACAGUAUUUCUCUUUCAGAAGGAGUAAAAUGCCAUACAGUUUCGGACAUCCUCCCUCAUUUUUCUUCUUUCCUUCUUUGACCACUCCUUUUAUGUUAGUUUGGACACACAAAAAAAGAAAAACUACAAUUUUUAACUAAACAAAAGCACUAUUUUUGAUAGUGAAAAAAAUUCAAAGGCUCUGUUUUAAAAUAUGCUUCUAAUAUGCUACACUAUCAUAUAAAAUGAAAAUUCACACAUGGGUAUGAUUCAGAGAGAAAGUUUCUAUGAUCUAUGAUGCCAAAAGGCAACUUAAAUUGCAUUCUUAGUGAUAGUGAUAAAAGUCACAAUGAAAACCACUGGUGUUACCAAAAUGCUUGCCACGAAUGUAGAAAUACUAACCUAAAGUAUAUCUACGGCAGGGAGUGAUAAAGGUGUACAGAUCUGGGGACUAUCACCAUUUAUGAAUAAAAUAAUUAUA
RNAcentral lists this long non-coding RNA (2485 nucleotides) under Homo sapiens (human). Its description in RNAcentral is "non-protein coding lnc-LIX1-1:1". The record is from RNAcentral. Lineage: Eukaryota; Metazoa; Chordata; Mammalia; Primates; Hominidae.